This 253-nucleotide ribosomal RNA is filed under the name uncultured bacterium. RNAcentral's name for it is "partial 16S ribosomal RNA". It matches the Rfam family "Bacterial small subunit ribosomal RNA", at positions 524 to 776 of the family's 1533-position model. The record is from RNAcentral.
UACGUAGGUGGCAAGCGUUGUCCGGAUUUACUGGGCGUAAAGAGCGUGCAGGCGGUCGUGCAAGUCGCGUGUGAAAGCCCCCGGCUCAACUGGGGAGGGUCACGCGAUACUGCUCGACUUGAAGGCAGGAGAGGGAAGUGGAAUUCCCGGUGUAGUGGUGAAAUGCGUAGAUAUCGGGAGGAACACCAGUGGCGAAGGCGACUUCCUGGCCUGUUCUUGACGCUGAGGCGCGAAAGCUAGGGUAGCAAACGGG